CAUCUUCAGGGCAGGGUGCAAUUCCCUACCGGUGGUACAGCCCACGAGCCGCAAGGCAUGAUUCGGUGAAACUCCGAAGCCGACAGUACAGUCUGGAUGAAAGAAGAUG
RNAcentral lists this non-coding RNA (109 nucleotides) under Butyricicoccus pullicaecorum. Its description in RNAcentral is "FMN riboswitch (RFN element)". It matches the Rfam family "FMN riboswitch aptamer (RFN element)". Rfam says of the family: The RFN element is a highly conserved domain that is found frequently in the 5'-untranslated regions of prokaryotic mRNAs that encode for flavin mononucleotide (FMN) biosynthesis and transport proteins. This element is a metabolite-dependent riboswitch that directly binds FMN in the absence of proteins. In Bacillus subtilis, the riboswitch most likely controls gene expression by causing premature transcription termination within the 5' untranslated region of the ribDEAHT operon and precluding access to the ribosome-binding site of ypaA mRNA. The record is from RNAcentral. Lineage: Bacteria; Bacillati; Bacillota; Clostridia; Eubacteriales; Butyricicoccaceae.